This is a long non-coding RNA of Papaver somniferum (opium poppy), 1284 nucleotides long. RefSeq lists it as uncharacterized. The transcript has 3 exons. Lineage: Eukaryota; Viridiplantae; Streptophyta; Magnoliopsida; Ranunculales; Papaveraceae. The record is from RefSeq and is a predicted model, not a curated record.
GCUAUGUUUUGUUGUUCCUCACCAAAUUCUUACCUAGCAGGUUCAGCAACAGCUUCUUUCCAGAUAUAAGGUGCGAUUACGGGCUUCGGUUAGCAUCUGCAAUCCUGUUAAGAUCAGUUGAGUGCUAUCCUGUUAAGAUCAGUUGGAGUUGUGUCCAUCUAAGAUCAGUUGAAGCGGCAUCUCACACCUUUGUGUUUGAAUUUUGUAAGGUUUAGAUGUUGAUAAUUAGUUCAAUGAGGAAAGGGUGUUGCUUUUGUAUGAACAAGCGGGAAAAAAGGACAUUGUGCAGCUAAUAUCUAGAUAUUCAGGACAUUGCACUAAAGGGUUGGAUGGAGAAUGAUGAAGAAGGAACUGAUUUCAGUAAUUACGGUAAGAAAUUUGGGUACAAAUUUGUUAGAGAUUUGCGAAAAGUUCUUAAGCCGAGAAAGUUGAGAAGGUUUGCAGUAGUUGUUGUUGAGUAUGGUGAUGAAUAGAGGAGAAAUCAAUUUUAGAGGUUGUAAUUGAUCAGGAGUGUUGGUUAAACUAUAUACAAUGAUCAACUAUUUCGGCAGUAAAAUCGGUAAUGUAUCCGUGCCUGAUCCUCCAUCUUAUUAUAAUGAGUACUCCUUUGAGUUUUUACUGGUUAUUCUUUAGAUAGCUUUUCACGUUGCAAAUUUAAGUCAAAUUUGGUUAAUCUCUAUUUCCUGCACCAGUGACCAGUCCAGUAUUUGCCAUGUGCUUGGUUGGUUUGCCAUGCACUUGGUUGGUUUCUCUUAGGGUUAUCAAGCACUCCGGAUCAUUACAUAUUAUUCUACGCUGCCUCCUGGUUCCAAUAAUAAUUGUGAAGGAGGUUCAAAUAAUAAUUGUGGAGAGGGUUCAACACUUGCAGCUCUGCCUGUAAGUUAGUUCUUUAACAUUUUUUGCUUUAGAUUCUGGGCAUAGUUCGAUUACGGGGACAUUCAGUAUUGAUGAACACUCCUUGAAAGUAAGGUUACCUGAUCCAAGUAUGUCCCCACCUAUCCCUACGUGUUGCAUUAUUUAUCUGUUUUUAUCUGUGUCACAUUCUGCAAAGAAGUGCAAUCGAAUCCUUGGAUGCAUCUUCAUCUGUUUGGAAGAGAUGGGCCAUGAAUUAAUGCUCAUUGCUCACUUGAGAUGCAUGUUUUAUUUAUUUACCUUGCCAUAUGGCCAGUGUAAGGCUCUAUCUUAAUUGUAGUUUUUAGUACUUACAGUUAGAAUAAGGAAUCAUGGUUUCUUUGUAGUGUUCAUGUCAAUUGUAUUUUGUAUGUGUUUAACUCAUUAUUAGGU